GAGUGAAGAGGGAAGAGCUCAUCAUUGGAAUCUGGCAGCGUUGCGCUGUCCGAGUUGUAGAUGAGAAGAGUAGGCCAUCUGGACUGCGUGGUGUCCAAGUACAAUAGGCCGUCAGUGGGACAUCAUAGAGGGUGACAAUCCCGUCCUUGACACCAACGUACGAGUCCAUUACGAUGCCUAUCUCAGAGAGUCGAGCAGUUUGGGAUUUGCUGCUUAAACAUGGGAGGUAGAUUCCUUCUAAAGCUAAAUACAGGCAAGAGACCGAUAGAGAACAAGUACCGCAAGGGAAAGAUGAAAUAGAACUCUGUGAAGGGAGUCAAAAAGACGUGAAAUUGUUGCGAGAGAAGCGAUUCAAGUCAGCGUAGCUAGGCCCAUCAAGCCUUGCUUUGGACUAGCUUUGCCAGCGGUCUUGUCCUUUAGAGAGACUUGACUUUUGACAUGCCCUGCCCGGUCUAACGGGCAGACCUCCCUCUGGGAGGCCAGUGGCAUGGCUGGUGGAAUGGCUUGCAAUCGACCCGUCUUGAAACACGGACCAAGGAGUCUAACAUGUGUGCGAGUAUAAGGGUGGCAAACCCGUAUGCGCAAAGAAAGUGAUAGCCUUUAUGGCUGAGAAUGGCCUGAUGACCAGACAAGCAAUAUUAUGUUCCUCGUACGGUCAUUGCCCAAGUCCCGUGGUCAGAUCCCAUGGACAUGGAGUUAGAGCAUACAUGCUAGGACCCGAAAGAUGGUGAACUAUGCCUGGACAAAGCGAAGCCAAAGGAAACUCUGGUGGAGGCUUGUAGCGAUUCUGACGUGCAAAUCGAUCGUCUGAUCUGGGUAUAGGGGCGAAAGACUA
Molecule: ribosomal RNA, 835 nt
Filed under: Cantharellus cinnabarinus
Lineage: Eukaryota; Fungi; Basidiomycota; Agaricomycetes; Cantharellales; Hydnaceae
Description: eukaryotic LSU rRNA
Rfam family: Eukaryotic large subunit ribosomal RNA
Source: RNAcentral